RNAcentral lists this small RNA (28 nucleotides) under Bombyx mori (domestic silkworm). RNAcentral describes it as "piRNA piR-bmo-1956409". The record is from RNAcentral. Lineage: Eukaryota; Metazoa; Arthropoda; Insecta; Lepidoptera; Bombycidae.
UUUCGGAAAUAUUACACGAUGAAUGUAU